This 472-nucleotide ribosomal RNA is filed under the name uncultured bacterium. Its description in RNAcentral is "partial 16S ribosomal RNA". It matches the Rfam family "Bacterial small subunit ribosomal RNA", at positions 30 to 507 of the family's 1533-position model. The record is from RNAcentral.
AGUGAACGCUGGCGGUAGGCCUAACACAUGCAAGUCGAAUGGCAGCACAGUACGAGCUUGCUCUUACGGGUGGCGAGUGGCGGACGGGUGAGGAAUACAUCGGAAUCUACUUUUUCGUGGGGGAUAACGUAGGGAAACUUACGAUAAUACCGCAUACGACCUACGGGUGAAAGCAGGGGAUCUUCGGACCUUGCGCGAUUGGAUGAGCCGAUGUCGGAUUAGCUAGUUGGUGGGGUAAUGGCCCACCAAGGCGACGAUGGGUAGCUGGUCUGAGAGGGUGAACGGCGACAUUGGGACUGAGAUACGGCCCAGAGUCCUAUGGGAGGCAGCAGGGGGGAAUAUUGCACAAUGGGCGGAAGUCUGAUGAAGCAACGCCGCGUGCGGGAUGAAGGCCUUCGGGUUGUAAACCGCUUUCGCCUGUGACGAAGCGUGAGUGACGGUAAUGGGUAAAGAAGCACCGGCUAACUACGUG